UUGCUUUGACAGCACAUAUACUAAAAUUAGAAUGAUAUGGAGAUUAGCAUUGUCCCUGCACAAGGGCGAUAUGCGAAACAUGGAUCCUGGAUUCAAAUUCCU
Molecule: small nuclear RNA, 102 nt
Organism: Hyaena hyaena (striped hyena)
Lineage: Eukaryota; Metazoa; Chordata; Mammalia; Carnivora; Hyaenidae
Source: RefSeq, a predicted model, not a curated record